This 441-nucleotide ribosomal RNA is filed under the name uncultured bacterium. RNAcentral's name for it is "bacterial SSU rRNA". It matches the Rfam family "Bacterial small subunit ribosomal RNA", at positions 958 to 1398 of the family's 1533-position model. The record is from RNAcentral.
AACGCGAAGAACCUUACCUGGGCUCGAACGGCUCACGAAAGUCUUUGGAAACAGAGAUUUCCCGCAAGGGACGGGAGUCGAGGUGCUGCAUGGCUGUCGUCAGCUCGUGUCGUGAGAUGUUGGGUUAAGUCCCGCAACGAGCGCAACCCUUGUCCUGUGUUGCCAUGCCGAAAGGCGGAACUCGCAGGAGACCGCCAGCGAUAAGCUGGAGGAAGGUGGGGAUGACGUCAAGUCCUCAUGGCCUUUAUGUCCAGGGCUACACACGUGCUACAAUGGCCGGUACAAAGCGUCCCGAAGCUGCGAAGCGGAGGCAAUCGCAAAAAACCGGUCUCAGUUCGGAUUGCAGGCUGCAACUCGCCUGCAUGAAGCUGGAAUCGCUAGUAAUGGCAGAUCAGCACGCUGCCGUGAAUACGUUCCCGGGCCUUGUACACACCGAGUAUA